RNAcentral lists this microRNA precursor (61 nucleotides) under Petromyzon marinus (sea lamprey). RNAcentral describes it as "Pma-Mir-30-P1o3a_pre stem-loop". It matches the Rfam family "mir-30 microRNA precursor family", at positions 1 to 60 of the family's 77-position model. From Rfam's summary of the family: This family consists of the mammalian microRNA (miRNA) precursor mir-30a. Lineage: Eukaryota; Metazoa; Chordata; Hyperoartia; Petromyzontiformes; Petromyzontidae. The record is from RNAcentral.
UGUAAACAUCUCAACUGGAAGCUGUGACGUCAGUAAAGGCUUUCAGUUAGGUGUUCACGUC